UACGAAGGGGGCUAGCGUUGUUCGGAAUUACUGGGCGUAAAGCGCACGUAGGCGGAUCGAUCAGUCAGGGGUGAAAUCCCAGGGCUCAACCCUGGAACUGCCUUUGAUACUGUCGAUCUGGAGUAUGGAAGAGGUGAGUGGAAUUCCGAGUGUAGAGGUGAAAUUCGUAGAUAUUCGGAGGAACACCAGUGGCGAAGGCGCCUAUCUGGCUGACAACUGACGCUGAGACUCGAAAGCAUGGGGAGCAAACAGG
Molecule: ribosomal RNA, 253 nt
Filed under: uncultured bacterium
Lineage: Bacteria
Description: partial 16S ribosomal RNA
Rfam family: Bacterial small subunit ribosomal RNA
Source: RNAcentral